Molecule: ribosomal RNA, 462 nt
Filed under: uncultured bacterium
Lineage: Bacteria
Description: partial 16S ribosomal RNA
Rfam family: Bacterial small subunit ribosomal RNA
Source: RNAcentral
GACGAACGCUGGCGGCGUGCUUAACACAUGCAAGUCGAACGGAAAGGCCCUUAGGGGUACUCGAGUGGCGAACGGGUGAGUAACACGUGGGUGAUCUGCCCUGCACUUUGGGAUAAGCCUGGGAAACUGGGUCUAAUACCGAAUAGGACCACGCGCUUCAUGGUGUGUGGUGGAAAGCUUUUGCGGUGUGGGAUGGGCCCGCGGCCUAUCAGCUUGUUGGUGGGGUAAUGGCCUACCAAGGCGACGACGGGUAGCCGGCCUGAGAGGGUGACCGGCCACACUGGGACUGAGAUACGGCCCAGACUCCUACGGGAGGCAGCAGUGGGGAAUAUUGCACAAUGGGCGCAAGCCUGAUGCAGCGACGCCGCGUGAGGGAUGACGGCCUUCGGGUUGUAAACCUCUUUCACCAGGGACGAAGCGUAAGUGACGGUACCUGGAGAAGAAGCACCGGCCAACUACGUG